UCCCUGGUGGCUCAGGCGCUAAAAGCGUCUGCCUACAAUGCAGGAGACCCAGGAUCAACCCCUGGGUGGGGAA
RNAcentral lists this transfer RNA (73 nucleotides) under Ovis aries (sheep). It matches the Rfam family "tRNA". Rfam says of the family: Transfer RNA (tRNA) molecules are approximately 80 nucleotides in length. Lineage: Eukaryota; Metazoa; Chordata; Mammalia; Artiodactyla; Bovidae. The record is from Rfam by way of RNAcentral.